GAAGGUGUGUUUCCUGUUUUAGUAAACAAAAAAAUGUUCUCACAAUUGGUUAUACAAAUUCACUUGUACAACACAGGUAUCAUUCGUGUACAUUAAUUUCGUAAUCAGGUAGAUAUGAAUUUAUAAACAGGUAAGUCAAUAAUUAAAGAUAAGCAAUGGUAAAUUUCUGGUGUCAAAUAAACUCAUCAUAGUGACCAGGACUAAAUUUUGUAUAUGUCAGACGCGCGUUUCGUCUACAAAAGACUCAUUAGUGACGCUCGAAUCCAAAAAAGUUAAGAAGGCAAACAAAAAAAGAUACGAAGUUGAAGAGCAUUGAUGACUAAAAUUUCUUAAAAGUUUUGCCAAAUACAGCUAAGGUAAUCUAUGCCUGAUGUAUACAACACUCAUUUAUAGGAUAAGAACACAUGUACCAAAAAGGAAGUUCGUGUUUGCCAACCAGAUAAAGGACAGGACAUUUAAUACCAGAACGCAGAUAUCAGAAAAUCGCCUUUUAUCAAAUUACAAUAAUCACUAAUGUGUACACAUUGACAAACCAUUGAUUUAUAUAACUAAGGUAGCAGUGGCUUUAACAGAAAGAAUAGGACUUAUUAGGUUAUAAUGACAGUAAUCAGUAAAUUGGUCUUGUGAAGUAUGUGCACGAAGAUAUACAUAAGGCUUAUUCAAUUCACGCAAUAAAUCUAUAUAAAUAUAAUAUAACUGUUGAAUUCACAUCACUAAGGAGCUCGAUUUAUCAACCACAAAAUAUUCAAAUCGACAAACACCUUUCUUUGGUCAAUCCUAAUGUUUUGUUAAAAUUUCUUGAAUAUUAGUGUUUGCAAGUUUGAGUUACAAUCAGAAGGACUGACGAACUAUGACAUAUCAUAAUACGUAACGUCACUGAUCUACUUCUUGUUUGCUGAAAUUAAUUUGUUUGUUUUACAUAGAAAGACGAAUAUGCAUUUUCCUAGAAGCCUGAAAUCAGAGCUUGUUGGUAAAUUAUUACGAUAUUAUAUUUGACGCUAUAAAAUGUGGUACCCAAAUUGCAUCUAUUUUUACAGUUUUUGUCACCAUAGUUUUUUUUAUGAUCCAGACAAAUGUUUCCACUCUGUGUUUAUCUUCUAGAUGUUUUUUUUUAUAAACUGUUUAGUUAAAUAUUUUUUUUCAUGUCCAUAUUGAUUCAUAUAAAAAUGGGCAUGAACAGACUUGCAAAUAAUCCAUGAUAUUGUAAUAAGGAGUAUCAUCAUUACGUCUAUGUUUAAAUCCACAUCCUUAAGAAUGAAAUAAUAAAUGCUAUACUUUAUUUCUACGAAUAAUUAGAACAAUUUGACAUUAGUACAUGGUUUUUAUAUUGUUUUUAACAAAGGGAUCCUUAUAAUAUAUUUCAUUUAAUCAUUUUGUUUAGCUGACUUUUUGUGGACGCUGAAUGGCAUCGUUUCGAGUUUGAUUUCUCUGUUGAUAAAACCUAUGAAGUCUUGUGUAUAAAUAAAUAUAUUUACCGCUCAUGAAUGUGACAAGACAUUUAUAUUGUCAAAUUAUAAAAUCACAAAUAGUUAAGUUUGAAAGAAAAUGUGUAAGAUUGGUGCUAAUACUUUUGAUGUUAGGUGCAAUUUGGGUAUAGUGACGUUACAAUACAUGUACAUUUUCAACACCUUUUAUGUGUUUCCACAUCGUUGUCAAUUAGCCGCUUAUUACAUUGCAAAUUGUUUUUUUCUAUAAAUUUCAGACACUAGUCGCUUUCAAUUAAGGACCUGAAUAUGCAAUCCGAAGCGAGUACUCGUAAUCAUAACUCGCAAGAAGACAGUGCUGAUGGCAAACAAAAUAAAUACAUCCCUAAAUUUCAUUUUGAUAGCGAGUCAAUCAACAUCCAUGAAGCCCAGGCUAAAUUAAUAUACCAGUACACAGAUGUCAAGAAUCCGAC
RNAcentral lists this long non-coding RNA (1897 nucleotides) under Mytilus galloprovincialis (Mediterranean mussel). Lineage: Eukaryota; Metazoa; Mollusca; Bivalvia; Mytilida; Mytilidae. The record is from RNAcentral.